AGGGUGUAAACGCUGCAGACUUGGUGUUGGGAACCCUUCGGGGGUGCUCAGUGCCGGAGAGAAGUUGUUAAGUCUGCUACUCGGGGAGUACGUCCGCAAGGAUGAAACUUGAAGGAAUUGGCGGGGGAGCACCGCAACGGGAGGAGCGUGCGGUUUAAUUGGAUUCAACGCCGAAAAACUCACCAGCAGCGACUGUUACAUGAAAGUCAGGUUGAUGACCUUACUAGAUUUUCAGAGAGGAGGUGCAUGGCGUCAGUGACU
RNAcentral lists this ribosomal RNA (261 nucleotides) under uncultured archaeon. RNAcentral describes it as "partial 16S ribosomal RNA". It matches the Rfam family "Archaeal small subunit ribosomal RNA", at positions 748 to 1008 of the family's 1478-position model. The record is from RNAcentral.